CCAAUAGCGUAUAUUAAAGUUGUUGCAGUUAAAAAGCUCGUAGUUGAAUUUCGGGAUCAGUAUGUUGGUCAUGCCUUGGUAUGAACUGGUGUCACUGAUUCCUCCCUUCUGACGAACCGUCAUGCCAUUCACUUGGUGUGGCGGGGAAUCAGGACUGUUACUUUGAAAAAAUUAGAGUGUUUAAAGCAGGCUCACGCUUGAAUACAUUAGCAUGGAAUAAUGGAAUAGGACGUUGAUCCUAUUUUGUUGGUUUCUAGGAUUGACGUAAUGAUUAAUAGGGAUAGUUGGGGGCAUUAGUAUUCAAUUGUCAGAGGUGAAAUUCUUGGAUUUAUUGAAGACUAACUACUGCGAAAGCAUUUGCCAAGGAUGUUUUCAUUAAUCAAGAACGAAAGUUAGGGGAUCGAAGACGAUCAGAUACCGUCGUAGUCUUAACCAUAAACUAUGCCGACUAGGGAUCGGAUGAUGUUAAUUUUUUAAUGACUCAUUCGGCGCCUUACG
This 498-nucleotide ribosomal RNA is filed under the name uncultured Glomeromycotina. RNAcentral describes it as "partial small subunit ribosomal RNA". It matches the Rfam family "Eukaryotic small subunit ribosomal RNA", at positions 591 to 1092 of the family's 1831-position model. The record is from RNAcentral. Lineage: Eukaryota; Fungi; Glomeromycota.